RNAcentral lists this ribosomal RNA (389 nucleotides) under uncultured bacterium. Its description in RNAcentral is "bacterial SSU rRNA". It matches the Rfam family "Bacterial small subunit ribosomal RNA", at positions 28 to 417 of the family's 1533-position model. The record is from RNAcentral.
GACGAACGCUGGCGGCGUGCUUAACACAUGCAAGUCGAGCGGUAAGGCCCUUUCGGGGGUACACGAGCGGCGAACGGGUGAGUAACACGUGGGUGACCUGCCCUCAGCUCUGGGAUAAGCCUGGGAAACCGGGUCUAAUACCGGAUAUGACUCCAUGACGCAUGUUGUGGGGUGGAAAGCCUUGUGCGGCUGAGGAUGGGCCCGCGGCCUAUCAGCUUGUUGGUGGGGUGANGGCCUACCAAGGCGACGACGGGUAGCCGGCCUGAGAGGGCGACCGGCCACACUGGGACUGAGACACGGCCCAGACUCCUACGGGAGGCAGCAGUGGGGAAUCUUGCGCAAUGGGACGAAAGCCUGACGCAGCGACGCCGCGUGAGGGAUGACGGCCU